This is a long non-coding RNA of Scophthalmus maximus (turbot), 2500 nucleotides long. RefSeq lists it as uncharacterized. The transcript has 3 exons. Lineage: Eukaryota; Metazoa; Chordata; Actinopteri; Pleuronectiformes; Scophthalmidae. The record is from RefSeq and is a predicted model, not a curated record.
UCGUCAGUCACACGGAGCCUCGCGCGCCAAGUUUGAGAGGUGCGCGACCGCGCUUAAUGACGUCAACGCGCACCACGCGGCACGGGAAGUGACGUCAAUGCGGCGCGCGCGGCGAGUGUAAACCUCCCCCUUCACAGAGCCUCGUGUGGGUAAACAGAAAACGCCAGUAGGAUGUUUUGAGUAUGACCUUGUUCAGGUUUCUGCAGGGCAGGUGACAGAUACACAUCCUCUGGCCUGUCAAACAGCAGGGGUCAAAGUUCAACUGUGAUGUCGUACGGAUCAGGACCCGACUCAGGUAUCAGUAGAUCCCACGUUGUUGUUUGUUUUACUUGUUUACUUGUUACUGUGUUUGACCUUGACACGAUAUUUGAGCUGCAACUAACAAUUAUUUUCAUUAUUGAUUAAUCUGUCGGUUAUUUUCUCCAUUAAUCGAUCAGUUGUUUGGUUCAUAAAAUGGUGAAAAAUGUUGAUCGUGUUUCCCAAAACCCUCAAGAUGAUGUUUUGCUUUGUCCUCACACCAAAGAUAAUCAGUUCACUGUCACAGAGGAGCAAAUAAACCAGGAAAUAUUCAUAUUUAAGAAGCUGAAAUCAGAGAAUAAUUUCAGAACACCGACUUGAACAGAUUAUUUGAUUAUCAAAAUAGUUGCCGGUUAAUUUAGUAGUUAAUUACUAAUCGAUUAACUGUUGCAGCGCAACACGAUAUGGCCAAAAGUAUUUGGACCUUCUGAUUUCGGCCCCUGAACUAACACGACAAUGCUUUACUGUAAAAUCCAUGAAACCGACGAAGGUAAUUAGAAAGUUGCAUCUUAAAACUGCUUAUUUCGUCUAAAGAAAACUUUCCGUUUAUUCUGUAGAUGUUUUUUUUUAUAUUACAUGUUUAGUGAUGGUCUUGCCAACCAAUUUAUCAAUAAGGUGAUAGAAAGACAUAUUGAUAUCACCUGUAUGUUUGAUGAAAACUUUUAUUUCAGAGAAUAAACAAUGCAGAAAACAUGUGUAUUGACAUGUAAUGUUAAAAAAAAUUAGUUUUUCUAAAUCAAGUUCUGUAUUUUUGUGUUUUCUUCCUAUUUAUAGUUAUUUAUAAUUUACGUUUAUGGUUAAAUUGUAAAAUAUCAAGCCUCAAUUACAUUAUUUUGUCAUAUGGGUUUGAGAAUGACAUAAUAGGAAUUGCUGACAAUCAUAUUAUAUAAAUCUCACCACAUCUACAUUUUGGAAUUUUUUUUUACCCCAUAAUAUCGUUAUCUGCAUCGGUCCCCAAAAAUCCAUAUCCGUCGGGCUCCUGCUGUAAUGGCAAAUUUCCUCUAUGUGGAACUAAUAAAGGACGACCUCUUUAUAUCCGAUCGUAAAAUCGGAAUGUUUGUGAAUAAGUUUUGCUUAUGUGGACAACCCUGUCCACAUACUUUUGGCCUGUUCGUCUUUGCAGCGGGUUCAACGUGGAGCAUGUGGUUGUGCGUCACGUUCCUACCUUCGAACUCCACGUAGACUUUCCAGUGGAGGUUCUGCAGAUGCCGACGCAGCUUGUGGCUGUAACAGGCUUUGAACUUCUCCUCCGGACACAGAGGACACGACUUCCGUCCCGCUGACAAGAGAAAAACACACAAAACCAAAUCCGGCUGCAGCUAAACAUUUGUUUCCACUACCGUGUUCAUUUGCAGAUUAUUUGUCUGGAUUCAUCAGUUUGUCAUUCGGGGUGUGUGUGUGUGUGUGUGUGAACUCACCUCCGUUGAGGUCGACCAGCGUCUCCAGUCCGUCCAGUUGGGUUUGGAUGGAGACGUGUCUCUCUGUCAGUGCAAAACAGGAGAGUUUUUACCCGUAAAGUCUAGAAAACGACCGUCUGUAAAGUUGUCAGUUGACUAUCGUGUUCAAAUCAAAUCUUCCUCCUGAGAGUCAGUGAAAACUAAACAAGAGGAACAGCAGCUCGUGUUGAAUCACCGGUGGUGGAUGUGGUGGUGGAGGGUUUGGCAUCGUCGUCUGCAGCAGCUUCGCUCUCCGCUGCUCGUUCUGCAGCUCGGUCAGAAGAAAAGAAAGAAAAAAAACAUCAGCUCAAAACUCUUCACUUCGUUUGGUUUGAACCAAAAGAGCCGGUGAUGAACGGUGACUCGGACGACAGUUCCAGAAUACGUUGCGUUCACAUUGAAUUUUCAGACGCGGCCGGAAACAGGAAAUGGAAUCGGCGGUCCGCCACAAUAAAGUGUGCCCGGUCGGUCGCUCAGUUGGUUGUGGUUUGACACUUCACCACCGGAAAAUUACAAGAAUUACACACUGGGGCUUUAAAGUUACCAGGUCCCAAUGCAUAUUUCUGGUAACUGACUGAUUGCACAUUCUGCACUAUUUCAUGUAAAUUCUUUAUACUUAUUUAUUUUUUCUCUUUCUUGUUAUGCGUAUAUUUUGUAAUUUUUUUUGUAUAUAUUGUAUAUUUCGUAUGGUGUGUUUCGUGUUGUGUGUAACUGCUGCUGUAACACUGGGAUUUCUCGGCUUAGGAUCAAUAAAGUACCUGUCUGUC